UACGGAGGAUGCAAGCGUUAUCCGGAAUGAUUGGGCGUAAAGCGUCCGCAGGUGGCUGUGUAAGUCUGCUGUCAAAGAGCGAAGCUCAACUUCGUAAAGGCAGUGGAAACUACACGGCUAGAGUGCGUUCGGGGCAGAGGGAAUUCCUGGUGUAGCGGUGAAAUGCGUAGAGAUCAGGAAGAACACCGAUGGCGAAGGCGCUCUGCUAGGCCGCAACUGACACUGAGGGACGAAAGCUAGGGGAGCGAAUGGG
RNAcentral lists this ribosomal RNA (253 nucleotides) under uncultured bacterium. RNAcentral's name for it is "partial 16S ribosomal RNA". It matches the Rfam family "Bacterial small subunit ribosomal RNA", at positions 524 to 776 of the family's 1533-position model. The record is from RNAcentral.